Molecule: ribosomal RNA, 578 nt
Filed under: Arctic sea ice bacterium 7m28
Lineage: Bacteria
Description: bacterial SSU rRNA
Rfam family: Bacterial small subunit ribosomal RNA
Source: RNAcentral
AUCUGAUCAGCCNUGCCGCGUGCAGGAAGAAUGCCCUAUGGGUAGUAAACUGCUUUUAUACGGGAAGAAAAAGAGCUACGUGUAGCUUACUGACGGUACCGUAAGAAUAAGGACCGGCUAACUCCGUGCCAGCAGCCGCGGUAAUACGGAGGGUCCGAGCGUUAUCCGGAAUUAUUGGGUUUAAAGGGUCCGUAGGCGGGCGAUUAAGUCAGUGGUGAAAGUCUGCAGCUCAACUGUAGAAUUGCCUUUGAUACUGGUCGUCUUGAGUUAUAGUGAAGUUGCCGGAAUAUGUAGUGUAGCGGUGAAAUGCAUAGAUAUUACAUAGAACACCGAUUGCGAAGGCAGGUGACUAACUAUAUACUGACGCUGAUGGACGAAAGCGUGGGGAGCGAACAGGAUUAGAUACCCUGGUAGUCCACGCCGUAAACGAUGGAUACUAGCUGUCCGGGACCUUGAGUCCUGGGCGGCCAAGCGAAAGUGAUAAGUAUCCCACCUGGGGAGUACGUUCGCAAGAAUGAAACUCAAAGGAAUUGACGGGGGCCCGCACAAGCGGUGGAGCAUGUGGUUUAAUUCUUUGA